This 460-nucleotide ribosomal RNA is filed under the name uncultured bacterium. RNAcentral describes it as "partial 16S ribosomal RNA". It matches the Rfam family "Bacterial small subunit ribosomal RNA", at positions 338 to 795 of the family's 1533-position model. The record is from RNAcentral.
CCUACGGGAGGCAGCAGUGAGGAAUAUUGGUCAAUGGGCGCGAGCCUGAACCAGCCAAGUAGCGUGAAGGAUGACUGUCCUACGGGUUGUAAACUUCUUUUAUAAAGGAAUAAAGUGAGGCACGUGUGCCUUUUUGUGUGUACUUUAUGAAUAAGGAUCGGCUAACUCCGUGCCAGCAGCCGCGGUAAUACGGAGGAUUCGAGCGUUAUCCGGAUUUAUUGGGUUUAAAGGGAGCGUAGAUGGGUUGUUAAGUCAGUUGUGAAAGUCUGCGGCUCAACCGUAAAAUAGCAAUUGAUACUGGCAGCCUUGAGUACAGUUGAGGUAGGCGGAAUUCGUGGUGUAGCGGUGAAAUGCUUAGAUAUCACGAAGAACUCCGAUUGCGAAGGCAGCAUACUAACCUGCGACUGACAUUGAUGCUCGAAAGUGUGGGUAUCAAACAGGAUUAGAUACCCUUGUAGUC